This 253-nucleotide ribosomal RNA is filed under the name uncultured microorganism. Its description in RNAcentral is "partial 16S ribosomal RNA". It matches the Rfam family "Bacterial small subunit ribosomal RNA", at positions 524 to 776 of the family's 1533-position model. The record is from RNAcentral.
UACGGAGGGUGCGAGCGUUAUUCGGAUUUACUGGGCGUAAAGCGUGCGCAGGCGGCCCGUUAAGACAGGUGUGAAAUCCCUGGGCUCAACCUAGGAAUUGCGCUUGUGACUGGCGGGCUCGAGUACGGUAGAGGGGGGUGGAAUUCCUGGUGUAGCAGUGAAAUGCGUAGAGAUCAGGAGGAACACCGAUGGCGAAGGCAGCCCCCUGGGCCUGUACUGACGCUCAUGCACGAAAGCGUGGGGAGCAAACAGG